CUUUGUGUUUUUGUUUCUGAGAUACAUCCAGCCUGACUUCAAGUUUGCUAUGUAGCCAAAGAUGGCUUUUGAUCUUCCUGCCUCUACCUUUCAAGUGUUAGGACUAUAGGAUCUAGAGACUACCAUGUCUGGUUUAUGAGGUGCUGGGAGUGGAACCCAGGCCUCUUUGCAUGUUAAGCAAGCAAGCUUUCUACUUCUUGAGUUACAUUCUUAGCUUCUGCAUUGGCUGAAUACACAUUAAAGUUGAUAUUAGUAAAAAAUAGAUCCCAUAAAAGCACACCCAAAUUGAAUGUGUGUGUGUGUGGGGGGGGAUUAGUUUUUGUCUUUUGUUUUUUUAUUUCUUGAGACAGUGUUUUUCUGUGUAGCCCUGGCUGUCCUGGAACUCAUUCUGUAAACCACUCUUGCCUUGAACAGUACUGGGAUUAAAUGUGUGUGCCACCACCUGGAUGACCUGAAUUGUUACUCAUUCUGGAUAGGCUGACCAGUUGUCUGGUGGUUACUGCUACUGAUCCAUCCCAACUGCUGGACUUCUCCUUCAUACCCAAGGCCUCCAGGCAGUAUCUAUGUGGAGUCAACACUAAAAGGGAGCAGACACCAUUUCCCAGGCCCUUUAUUCUGGUGACUGAUGGAAGAGUGGGAGGGCAAUAUAUUUACUUGUUUAAUGGGUGGAAAAACAGAUCAAGGUACUGUACCUCUUCAGUUUCUAUUCUGAGUUCUGCAACUAUGCCACUUGGAUUGUAUAUAUUGGGGGAGGUUGAAAAUGUGUCUUUCAUUAGAAGUGUCUUGAGGGGAUAUAGUCAGUGUGAAAUAUGUUGAAGUCCUGAAAUAAUGUGCCCAUCUGAGGAAUUAAAAAAAAAAAGUUUGUAAAAAUACCAUAGAUGGAGCCUGCCUGCUCAUUUCCCCACCACAGAUUUUUUGGACUGGAGGCACAUGUUUAAUAGUAGUUUGUCUCUGAUAUUCACAGUAGCUACCCCUAUGUGAGGAAAGGAUAGAAAACAUUCAAGACUUCAUGUGGGCUUAUGAUCUACAGAUUCCAACCAGUAGCAGUGGCUGACUCCUACACAGAAGACUGGGAACUGCAAACAGACUGGGGUCACCUCAGUGACAUCUGACGCUGUCCAACCAGAAGUCUGACUUUUUUUUCGGGGAAGAGGGGCGGUGAAAAUGUUCUAAGAGACUAAAAUAAUUUUGUCUCUAUACUUUC
Molecule: long non-coding RNA, 1204 nt
Filed under: Cricetulus griseus (Chinese hamster)
Lineage: Eukaryota; Metazoa; Chordata; Mammalia; Rodentia; Cricetidae
Description: lncRNA (ENSCGRG00015038689.1)
Source: RNAcentral